GGCUGCGCCCGCGGCCCGGCACACGGCGCCGCUCAGGGGCGCGAGCUGCGGGGCGAAGUCGUUGGUCUCCGUCAGAGUGACGGCGAGCGUGGCGGUGGUCGACACGCCUCCCACAUCUGCGUCAAUCAGCACAAGCGCCUUGCUGUUGGACUCACUGAGGCAGGGCUGAACUGUGGCCGGUGGUUGUUGAUAUCGGACACAUGUAUAAUGGCUUCACCUUCGCUUGUCAGGCCCAUUCCCCCCAUGUCGGCCACUUGGAGCUUCAGCCGGAAGCUCUUCACCACCUUCAACACAACACAAGCCAUUGAAAUGCCCACCUCCUAAGCUGAGCCUCCUAAGAUGAGCCUCCUAAGCUGAGCCUCCUAAGGUGAGCCUCCUAAGCUGAGCCUCCUAAGAUGAGCCUCCUAAGCUGAGCCUCCUAAGCUGAGCUGACCCACCUCUCGGUCCAGGCCUACGUCUCUGGUGUAGAUGGUCCCCGUCUCAUUGUUGAUGCCAAACAUGACCUUGCUGAUGGCGUUGGCGGGGAAGCUCUCCUGGCCAAUGAUGGAGUAGCUCAGAGCGGCGUUGUCUGUCAUUGGGUCAUCGGCAUCCGCGGCUGACACUGACAUCACUGAC
This is a long non-coding RNA of Betta splendens (Siamese fighting fish), 615 nucleotides long. RefSeq lists it as uncharacterized. Lineage: Eukaryota; Metazoa; Chordata; Actinopteri; Anabantiformes; Osphronemidae. The transcript is spliced from 2 exons. The record is from RefSeq and is a predicted model, not a curated record.